UAGGGAAUUUUCGGCAAUGGGGGGGAACCCUGACCGAGCAACGCCGCGUGAAGGAAGAAGGAAUUCGUUCUGUAAACUUCUGUUAUAAAGGAAGAAAGACGGAUGGAGGAAAUGACAUCCGAGUGACGGUACUUUAUGAGAAAGCCACGGCUAACUACGUGCC
Molecule: ribosomal RNA, 163 nt
Filed under: uncultured bacterium
Lineage: Bacteria
Description: partial 16S ribosomal RNA
Rfam family: Bacterial small subunit ribosomal RNA
Source: RNAcentral